CGUGCUCACCUUGGCUGUGAUGACUGCAGGUGACAGGAGCCUGUGGGUGGAACCCAGGGCAUCGAGCAGGGGUCACAGGUGAGGGAGGCCUAUGGGCAGCUCAAUUAUCAGGGCAGGGCCAGGGAACAGGGAGGGCAGGUAGUAGGGCUGCAAGUCUCCAGGUACUGAGAGUGUGGGCACAACAACCCAGAAGCCAGGUCAACCUUGGGAGCUGGGCAAUGGUUG
RNAcentral lists this long non-coding RNA (225 nucleotides) under Marmota monax (woodchuck). The record is from RNAcentral. Lineage: Eukaryota; Metazoa; Chordata; Mammalia; Rodentia; Sciuridae.